CCCUUAGAUGUCCUGGGCGGCCCGCGCGCUACAAUGUCAGCUACUGAAGGUUAAUGCUUUGAAAGAGAGCGCGCUCUCCUUUUAAUUGCUCGCAUGCUGGGAUAAAUGAAUGCAAUUUUGUUUUGAACGAGGAAUUCCUAGUAGCCAUGUUUCACUAGAAGAUGGCGAAUGCGUCCCUGCCCUUUGUACACACCGCCCGUCGCUCCUACCGAUGAGCGUUUUGGCGAAGACGGUUUGAGUAGCUGCGUAAUUUCGUGUUGUUGGCUCCGGCAGUUUGAGCCUUCACGUUUAGAGGAAGGAGAAGUCGUAACA
This 312-nucleotide ribosomal RNA is filed under the name uncultured eukaryote. RNAcentral describes it as "partial 18S ribosomal RNA". It matches the Rfam family "Eukaryotic small subunit ribosomal RNA", at positions 1470 to 1796 of the family's 1831-position model. The record is from RNAcentral.